Molecule: ribosomal RNA, 493 nt
Filed under: uncultured bacterium
Lineage: Bacteria
Description: partial 16S ribosomal RNA
Rfam family: Bacterial small subunit ribosomal RNA
Source: RNAcentral
AUUGAACGCUGGCGGCAUGCCUUACACAUGCAAGUCGAACGGUAACAGGUUAAGCUGACGAGUGGCGAACGGGUGAGUAAUAUAUCGGAACGUGCCCAGUCGUGGGGGAUAACGUAGCGAAAGCUACGCUAAUACCGCAUACGAUCUACGGAUGAAAGCGGGGGAUCGCAAGACCUCGCGCGAUUGGAGCGGCCGAUAUCAGAGUAGGUUGUUGGUGAGGUAAAAGCUCACCAAGCCUGCGAUCUGUAGCUGGUCUGAGAGGACGACCAGCCACACUGGAACUGAGACACGGUCCAGACUCCGAGGGGAGGCAGCAGUGGGGAAUUUUGGACAAUGGACGCAAGUCUGAUCCAGCAAUGCCGCGUGCAGGACGAAGGCCUUCGGGUUGUAAACUGCUUUUGUACGGAACGAAACGGUGAGCUCUAAUACAGUUUGCUAAUGACGGUACCGUAAGAAUAAGCACCGGCUAACUACGUGCCAGCCGCCGCAGUAA